GGGUGCGAUCAUAAAAGUGUUAAUGCACCGGAUCCCAUCAGAACUCCGCAAUUAGGCGCGCUUGAUAUAGAGUGGUACUGGGAUGGGUGACCUUCUAGGAAGCCCUAGUGUUGCACCCU
Non-coding RNA from Picea glauca (white spruce), 119 nucleotides. The record is from Rfam. NCBI's taxonomy places the organism in Eukaryota, Viridiplantae, Streptophyta, Pinopsida, Pinales, Pinaceae.